UUUCAAUACAGGAAAAGAAACUUGAUCCACAAUGAAUCCACAACAAAGAAUAUGAAAACCAUCUUGAUCCUACAUAACAUAAUCUGAUGCGGACACAUGGAUGACUCUGUAUCCCUCUGUCUUCAGUUCCUUCACCCUGGCUCGCAAGACCGUUUGUGACAUAUCUAAAAAUGAAGUAAAACAGGCAACUUUGUCUACAUGUGUGUUUCCAGAGCUCUGGUCCUCUACAUAAAACAAAUAUAUUUGUAUGCUACAUGCCAGCAUUUUGCUUAUACUCCACUCUUGUGAUGUCUAAACUUGUAGCCUAUAACACUCUGCUAAGACUGUAUCCAAAGUAAAUCAAAUGAUGUUUUUUUUUUGAAAAAUUUACAAACCAUACACAAAAUUACAAUAGAAAAUCAAUGUAGGAUUAACUUAGUUUCCUAUUGAGUUUGGUGAUUCAAACUCGCAAUUUGAAUAAGAAGCCUAUGGCUAAAACUAAUUAAAAAUAAUAAAUGUUAGUGUUAUAUGUAGGAUUUUUUAAGUGCAGGAUGAUGAUCGUUGAGUAGGGCACAUUUGU
Pseudophryne corroboree (corroboree frog) is the source of this 559-nucleotide long non-coding RNA. RefSeq lists it as uncharacterized. The record is from RefSeq and is a predicted model, not a curated record. Lineage: Eukaryota; Metazoa; Chordata; Amphibia; Anura; Myobatrachidae. The transcript is spliced from 3 exons.